GGUUAUAGCUCAGUGGCAGAGUGCUUGCCUUGCAUGUGUGAGGCACUGGGUUCAAUCCCCAGCACCA
This 67-nucleotide transfer RNA is filed under the name Marmota monax (woodchuck). RNAcentral describes it as "tRNA.Ala". It matches the Rfam family "tRNA". From Rfam's summary of the family: Transfer RNA (tRNA) molecules are approximately 80 nucleotides in length. Lineage: Eukaryota; Metazoa; Chordata; Mammalia; Rodentia; Sciuridae. The record is from RNAcentral.